GACGAACGCUGGCGGCGUGCUUAACACAUGCAAGUCGAACGGUGAAGCUCCAGCUUGCUGGAGUGGAUCAGUGGCGAACGGGUGAGUAACACGUGAGCAACCUGCCCCUGACUCUGGAAUAAGCGCUGGAAACGGCGUCUAAUACUGGAUACGAGAAGGGUCCGCAUGGGCACUUUCUGGAAAGUUUUUCGGUUGGGGAUGGGCUCGCGGCCUAUCAGCUUGUUGGUGAGGUAAUGGCUCACCAAGGCGACGACGGGUAGCCGGCCUGAGAGGGCGACCGGCCACCCUGGGACUGCGACACGGACCAGUCGCCUACGGUCGGCAGCAGUGGGGAAUAUUGCACAAUGGGCGAAAGCCUGAUGCAGCGACGCCGCGUGAGUGAUGACGGCCUUCGGGUUGUAAACCUCUUUCAGCAGGGAAGAAGCGAAAGUGACGGUACCUGCAGAAGAAGCACCGGCUAACUACGUG
This 468-nucleotide ribosomal RNA is filed under the name uncultured bacterium. Its description in RNAcentral is "partial 16S ribosomal RNA". It matches the Rfam family "Bacterial small subunit ribosomal RNA", at positions 28 to 507 of the family's 1533-position model. The record is from RNAcentral.